AGAGUUUGAUCCUGGCUCAGAACGAACGCUGGCGGCGUGCUUAACACAUGCAAGUCGAACGUGAUCCGGAGCUUGCUCCGGUGAAAGUGGCGCACGGGUGAGUAACGCGUGGAUAAUCUGCCCUGGUAUCUGGGAUAACAUCUCGAAAGGGGUGCUAAUACCGGAUAAGCCUACGGACUCUUCGGAGUCUGCAGGAAAAGGUGGCCUCUAUUUAUAAGCUACCGUAUCAGGAUGAGUCCGCGUACCAUUAGCUAGUUGGUGGGGUAAUGGCCCACCAAGGCUACGAUGGUUAGCUGGUCCGAGAGGAUGAUCAGCCACACUGGAACUGAGACACGGUCCAGACUCCUACGGGAGGCAGCAGUGGGGAAUUUUGCGCAAUGGGGGAAACCCUGACGCAGCAACGCCGCGUGAGUGAUGAAGGCUUUCGGGUCGUAAAGCUCUGUCAGAGGGGAAGAAAUGAGACUGGCUAAUAUCCAGUUUUCUUGACGGUACCCUCAAAGGAAGCACCGGCUAACUCCGUGCCAGCAGCCGCGGUAA
This 537-nucleotide ribosomal RNA is filed under the name uncultured bacterium. RNAcentral's name for it is "bacterial SSU rRNA". It matches the Rfam family "Bacterial small subunit ribosomal RNA", at positions 8 to 523 of the family's 1533-position model. The record is from RNAcentral.